CAGCGUGGCCUCGGGCCUCGUGGUGAAGGAUGCUGUCCCGAAAGAAAACCAAAAACGAAGUGUCCAAGCCGGCCGAGGUGCAGGGGAAGUACGUGAAGAAGGAGACGUCGCCUCUGCUUCGGAAUGCGUGGUGAUGUGUCUUAUGUUUGCAAACAUUGCGGGUAUCUCUCGACCGUGCUGCAAGUUGUGCGAAUUCUGGGGCAGAAUUCCUUAGUCUUGCUGCCGGAUGCAGAGUUGAGAAGAUCUUAUGCCUUUAUUCAUCCGGCAUGGUCCAACAAUUCCCAAACGAACUGAUAUCUGUCUUCCAGAUUCAAGCCCUAAUGCCUUUUCAGCUUCUGGAGAUGGGGUAGUUUGAAGAAACCAGAGUUUCCUUAGAACUCCAAUUCAAAGAAUACCUCAUGAAAUAAUGAGAAGAGAAAGCAACAGAUUAGCUGCACCUUCUUAUCUUGCCAGAAGUCUAGCAGAUGUCCCUAGAGAGUAUGGCUCUUCUCAGUCAUUUGUAACGGAAGUUAAUUUUGCUGUUGAAAAUGGAGACUCUGGUUCCCGAUAUUAUUAUUCAGACAAUUUUCUUGAUGGUCAGAGAAAGCGGCCACUUGGAGAUCGUACACAUGAAGAAUACAGAUAUUAUGAAUACAACCAUGAUUUCUUCCAAAGAAUGCCUCAGAAUCAGGGGAGGCAUGCUUCAGGUAUUGGGAGAGUUGCUACUACAUCUUUAGGAAAUUUGACUAACCAGGUUCUGAAGAUUUACCCCUUCCUCCUGGCUGGUCUGUGGACUGGACAAUGAAAGGGAGAAAAUACUAUAUAGAUCAUCACACAAAUACAACUCACUGGAGCCAACCUCUUGAGCGAGAAGGCCUUCUUCCAGGAUGGGAGCGAGUUGAGUCAUCAGAAUUUGGAAACUAUUAUGUAGAUCACACAAAUAAGAAGGCUCAGUAUAGGCAUCCCUUUGCUCCUAGUGUACCUCAGUAUGAUCAGCCACCUCCUGUCACUUACCAGCCACAGCAAACUGAAAGAAAUUAGUCCCUUCUGGUACCUGCAAAUCCAUAUCAUACUGCAGAAAUUCCUGACUGGCUUCAGGUGUAUGCUCGAGCCACUGUGAAAUAUGACCACAUCCUGCAGUGGGAACUCUUCCAGCUGGCUGACCUGGAUACAUACCAGGGAAUGCUAAAGUCGCUCUUCAUGAAAGAAUUGGAGCAGAUUGUUAAGAUGUAUGAAGCAUACAGACAAGCUCUUCUUACAGAGUUGGAAAACCGAAAGCAGAGACAGCAGUGGUAUGCCCAACAACAUGAAAAAAAUUUUUGAGCUGAUUUUUUAAAAAAUAAAAUUUAAGUUUUAUAAGAGCUUUAAAAUAUUUUCACAGAUAGAAAAUAGCAAACAAGUACUUUGGUUAACAAACACAGCUUCCUUUGUGGAAAUUAUAAAAUUCUAACUUUACAUGUAUUUUGUUAUUAGAAAGUUUCUUUUAUUGAACAAGAAAAAUUAGUCUAUCAUUUGAAGAGCCAAUAUGGCAAACACUUUCAAGUGUUACAUAUUAGGAAACUGCUUUGGUAUUCUUGAUGGAAAAAAUGCAGCAGGAAAUGUCAUUAUGAACAGAUGUUAAAUAGGAAAUUAUCACUUGUUAACUUCUUAUGGCAGUAGUACCUUUCUUUAAAAAAAAAAAAAGAAUCUGCAGUAUUUUAAAAAAAAUGUUUACCACUCUAGUAUGAAAUAUUUUCUGGAAAGGGAUGGUUUAAAUAUUACCAUGAGGUAGUUUAAAUAUAAAAUAGGAUUUAAAACCUUAUUGUAAUAAAUAUUUAUAUAUGAUGUCUGUUUGUCUUCCCUCCUCCAAAGUAAGGGACCCAGCUGGGGGACGUGGUGGCUGAUACCUGUAAUCCGAGCACUUUGGGAAGCCGAGGUCGAUGGAUCUCUUGAGCUCACCAGUUUGAGACCAGCCUGGGCAACAUGGUGAAACCCCAUCUCUACAAAAAAUACAAAAAAAAAUUAGCCAGGUAUGAUGGUAUGUUUCUGUAGUCUCAGUUACUUGGGAGGCUGAGGUCAGAGGAUGGCUUGAGCCGGAGAGGCAGAGGCUGCAGGGUCAAGAUUGUACCACUUGCACUGCAGCCUGGGUGAGAGAGCUAGACCUUGUCUCAAAAAAUAAGAAAUAAAGAAAUAGAAACAUAGGAACCUUUUGAAAGCAUGUUGAGAAAAUACUUUUUAUUAUGAAUGGGUGAUGGGCAUUUUAAUCUUUCAGGAGUACAUAUAAGCAUAAGUACUUAGCCUGUUUGAGGAAGGUGUGUAGAAGCUCAAAGUUGCUAAAAUCAACUUCCGUAUUUUCAGCCAGGGCUGUUACUGCAUUUAGCAUGGCUCUGAUGAGACAGUGGAGAGUUCCUGACAGCAUAGCCUACUGCCUUCUGACAGACUGGGUUGAGCUACCAAAAAUGACAAUCAGGGAUUCAAAAAAAAUGUUGGUCAUUAAAUCAAUUUUAUAUUAUUACUUUUUAAUCUUCUAAGUAUUUGUCACAGGACUUUAAAACCGUGUAUUUCCUUCGUAAUUUUUCUCCCCUUUUGGAUUAAUAGUUGUUAAAACACUUUUCAUAAUUAGUGCUGUACAUUUGAUUGCAUACAAAUUGGUGAUACUUCUAAACUAUAACUAUAAAUCUCUAGAAUUCUGUGAAUUUCAACAUUAUUUGAAGUAGUUCUUCAGUUACAUAUACAUGUGUCGUAAAUAUGUAAAUAAACUUUUAGCUUAGGAAGUCUUCCAGAAUACAAGCUACUCCCAGUUAUCAGUGAGUUUGAACUGUUGAUGAAAUGUUAACAGUGUUAAGUGUUUGCUUUUAUAUAACAAGUUUAUUAAAUAUAUUUUUGUGGAAAAAAA
This is a non-coding RNA of Callithrix jacchus (white-tufted-ear marmoset), 2854 nucleotides long. NCBI's taxonomy places the organism in Eukaryota, Metazoa, Chordata, Mammalia, Primates, Cebidae. The record is from RefSeq and is a predicted model, not a curated record.